RNAcentral lists this ribosomal RNA (758 nucleotides) under uncultured cyanobacterium. Its description in RNAcentral is "bacterial SSU rRNA". It matches the Rfam family "Bacterial small subunit ribosomal RNA", at positions 28 to 829 of the family's 1533-position model. The record is from RNAcentral. Lineage: Bacteria; Bacillati; Cyanobacteriota.
GAUGAACGCUGGCGGUAUGCUUAACACAUGCAAGUCGAACGAAAGUCUUCGGAUUUUAGUGGCGGACGGGUGAGUAACGCGUGAGGAUCUGCCUAUAGGUUGGGACAACAGAUGGAAACGUCUGCUAAUACCCAAUGUGCCGAGAGGUGAAAGCUUUAGUGCCUGUAGAUGAGCUCGCGUCCGAUUAGCUAGUUGGUAAGGUAAAGGCUUACCAAGGCGACGAUCGGUAGCUGGUCUGAGAGGAUGAUCAGCCACACUGGGACUGAGACACGGCCCAGACUCCUACGGGAGGCAGCAGUGGGGAAUUUUCCGCAAUGGGCGAAAGCCUGACGGAGCAAUACCGCGUGCGGGACGAAGGCUUUUGGGUCGUAAACCGCUUUUGUUAGGGAAGAACACAAUGACGGUACCUAACGAAUCAGCAUCGGCUAACUCCGUGCCAGCAGCCGCGGUAAUACGGGGGAUGCAAGCGUUAUCCGGAAUUAUUGGGCGUAAAGCGUCCGCAGGUGGUUUAUCAAGUCUGCUGUCAAAUCGUAGGGCUUAACCCUAUAAAGGCAGUGGAAACUGAGAGACUAGAGUACGGUAGGGGUAGCGGGAAUUCCCAGUGUAGCGGUGAAAUGCGUAGAUAUUGGGAAGAACACCAGCGGCGAAGGCGCGCUACUGGGCCGAAACUGACACUCAUGGACGAAAGCUAGGGGAGCGAAAGGGAUUAGAUACCCCUGUAGUCCUAGCUGUAAACGAUGACAACUAGGUGUUGCGCG